CGCCAAAUAGCUAGCCCACCUAACCAAAAACAACACCACAUCAUUAAUAAACCCAAACACCUCAAACCACACAAAACAAAUCAUUUUUCCACCUUAGUAUGGGCGACAGAAAAGGAAUUAUGGCGCAAUAGAGAAAGUACCGCAAGGGAACGCUGAAAGAGAAAUGAAAUAACCUAGUAAAGCCUAAAAAAGCAGAGAUUUAAACUCGUACCUUUUGCAUCAUGAUUUAGUUAGAAAAACUCAAGCAAAGAGCAUUUUAGUUUGAUUCCCCGAAACUAAGUGAGCUACUCCAAGACAGCCUAUUUAUAGGGCACACCCGUCUCUGUGACAAAAGAGUGGGAAGAGCUUCGAGUAGAGGUGAUAAACCUAUCGAACUUAGUAAUAGCUGGUUACCUGAGAAAUGGAUUAAAGUUCAGCCUCUCAGUUUCUUUAUUAACAAAUUUAUAAACAUAAUAUAUUUAAAGAAACCGACAGAGUUAUUCAAAGGGGGAACAGCCCAUUUGAAGCAAGAUACAACUUUAACAGGUGAAUAAAGAUCAUAUAAAUAAAAGGUAUUAUGUUUGAGUGGGCCCAAGAGCAGCCAUCUCAAUAGAAAGCGUUAAAGCUCAAACAUAUAAAACACCUUCAAUACCGAUACUCAAUCUCACACCCUAAAUAUAUCAGGCUAUCCUAUGCAAACAUAGGAGUAAUUAUGCUAAUAUGAGUAAUAAGAAGAUAUAUAUCUUCUCCUUGCAUUCGUGUAACUCGGAACGGACCUACCACCGAAAUUUAACGGUCCCAAAUAAAGAGGGCAUUGAAUAACAAUUAAAAAACUAGAAAAACAUUCAAUAACAAACCGUUAAACCCACACAGGCAUGCCUUUAAGGAAAGACUAAAAAGAAAAGAAGGAACUCGGCAAACACAUGAAGCCUCGCCUGUUUACCAAAAACAUCGCCUCUUGUAUCUUAAAAAUAAGAGGUCCCGCCUGCCCUGUGACUAUAUGUUUAACGGCCGCGGUAUUUUAACCGUGCGAAGGUAGCGCAAUCACUUGUCUUUUAAAUGAAGACCUGUAUGAAUGGCAUAACGAGGGCUUAACUGUCUCCUUUUCUAAGUCAAUGAAAUUGAUCUUUCCGUGCAGAAGCGGGAAUAACACCAUAAGACGAGAAGACCCUAUGGAGCUUUAGACAAAAGGUAGAUCACACUAAAUACCCUAAACAAAAGGAUAAACUAAAAGAAUACUACCCCUAUGUCUUCGGUUGGGGCGACCGCGGGGCACAUAAAACCCCCACGUGGACCAGGAGAACUUUUACCAUCACCUCCCAAAACUAAGAGCUCCCGCUCUAGUAAACAGAAUUUCUGACCAAAAAUGAUCCGGCAACGCCGAUCAACGGACCAAGUUACCCUAGGGAUAACAGCGCAAUCCCCUUUUAGAGUCCAUAUCGACAAGGGGGUUUACGACCUCGAUGUUGGAUCAGGACAUCCUAAUGGUGCAGCCGCUAUUAAGGGUUCGUUUGUUCAACGAUUAAAGUCCUACGUGAUCUGAGUUCAGACCGGAGUAAUCCAGGUCAGUUUCUAUCUAUGCCAUGAUCUUUUCUAGUACGAAAGGACCGAAAAGGAGAGGCCCAUGCUUAAAGUAUGCCUCACCCCCACCUAAUGAAAUCAACUAAAAAAGGCAAAAGGGCAUAUCCCUAUGCUGAAGAGAACAGCUU
This 1688-nucleotide ribosomal RNA is filed under the name Gadopsis marmoratus. RNAcentral's name for it is "16S rRNA". The stretch from base 97 to 1609 matches the Rfam family "Bacterial large subunit ribosomal RNA". Lineage: Eukaryota; Metazoa; Chordata; Actinopteri; Centrarchiformes; Percichthyidae. The record is from RNAcentral.